RNAcentral lists this ribosomal RNA (366 nucleotides) under uncultured Geobacteraceae bacterium. RNAcentral's name for it is "bacterial SSU rRNA". It matches the Rfam family "Bacterial small subunit ribosomal RNA", at positions 466 to 831 of the family's 1533-position model. The record is from RNAcentral. Lineage: Bacteria; Pseudomonadati; Thermodesulfobacteriota; Desulfuromonadia; Geobacterales; Geobacteraceae.
GGUUUGACGGUACCUUUAAAGGAAGCACCGGCUAACUCCGUGCCAGCAGCCGCGGUAAUACGGGGGGUGCAAGCGUUGUUCGGAAUUAUUGGGCGUAAAGCGCGUGUAGGCGGUCUGAUUAGUCUGAUGUGAAAGCCCUGGGCUCAACCCAGGAAGUGCAUUGGAUACUGUCAGACUUGAAUACGGGAGAGGGUAGUGGAAUUCCUAGUGUAGGAGUGAAAUCCGUAGAUAUUAGGAGGAACACCGGUGGCGAAGGCGKCUACCUGGACCGACAUUGACGCUGAGACGCAAAAGCGUGAGUAGCAAACAGGAUUAGAUACCCUGGUAGUCCACGCCGUAAACGAUGAGAACUAGGUGUCGCGGGUA